CCCUUAGAUGUCCUGGGCCGCACGCGCGUUACACUGAUGCAUUCAACGAGCUUAUAACCUUGGCCGAGAGGCCUGGGCAAUCUUGUUAACGUGCAUCGUGAUAGGGAUAGAUUAUUGAAAUUAUUAAUCUUGAACGAGGAAUUCCUAGUAAACGCAGAUCAUCAAUCUGCAUUGAUUACGUCCCUGCCCUUUGUACACACCGCCCGUCGCACCUACCGAUUGGAUGGUCCGGUGAAGCCUCGGAAUUGUGGUUCUUGCCGCUUUAUUGUAGCGUGACCGCGAGAACUUGUCUAAACCUUAUCAUCUAGAGGAAGGUGAAGUCGUAACA
RNAcentral lists this ribosomal RNA (328 nucleotides) under uncultured eukaryote. RNAcentral describes it as "partial 18S ribosomal RNA". It matches the Rfam family "Eukaryotic small subunit ribosomal RNA", at positions 1470 to 1796 of the family's 1831-position model. The record is from RNAcentral.